RNAcentral lists this ribosomal RNA (252 nucleotides) under uncultured bacterium. RNAcentral describes it as "partial 16S ribosomal RNA". It matches the Rfam family "Bacterial small subunit ribosomal RNA", at positions 525 to 776 of the family's 1533-position model. The record is from RNAcentral.
ACGUAGGAUGCGAGCGUUGUCCGGAUUUACUGGGCGUAAAGGGCGAGUAGGCGGCCCGCUAAGUCUCAUGUGAAAUCUCCCGGCUCAACUGGGAGGGGUCAUGAGAAACUGGCAGGCUUGAGGUCAGCAGAGGAAAGCGGAAUUCCCGGAGUAGCGGUGAUAUGCGUAGAUACCGGGAGGAACACCAGAGGCGAAGGCGGCUUUCUGGGCUGCACCUGACGCUGAGGCGCGAAAGCGUGGGGAGCGAACCGG